Podarcis raffonei (Aeolian wall lizard) is the source of this 1817-nucleotide long non-coding RNA. RefSeq lists it as uncharacterized. The transcript has 2 exons. Lineage: Eukaryota; Metazoa; Chordata; Lepidosauria; Squamata; Lacertidae. The record is from RefSeq and is a predicted model, not a curated record.
CCUUGUAGCAUCUGAUAGGAGUCACAGGCAUCUUAUUUGUUUCUUGAUGGCAUUGGUGCCUUGUGCUGUUAAAAUUACUUCCACUCUCAUUUUCUAUUUUUUUGUCUGGGGCGGAGAGAUAUUUCCCAGACAGUAAAGCAAUUAGCCUGUAAGGUCAUAGCCUUGGGGAACAGUGGUUUUUGAUGCUGUACACUCUAGUUCAAGAAAACCCACAAAAGUCAGACCAGUUGUUAUCAUUUCUGCACCGUUACAGACUUAAAAGGCAAUGUCCUGUAUGGACACUCAGUUGCAAUCUCAUGUGGGCAUGGCAACUCAAGUGGGGAAUCCUGAGGAACCUCAGCACAACUGCCACCACAGAACGUCAAUAUGUUGCAGAAGACACUUUGGGUUUCUGUUUCAGGGCUUUGGCUAGCUAUUUUUGGGCUCACCCAUUGCCUCCCAUGCUUUGUGUAUAACCUCUUCUCCCGUGGCUACAUGUUGCAAGGGUAGGCUCCUGGAUGUAAGAGAAACUGCCACCUUCAUUCUAGACUACCAAAUUCUUCCCAAAACACAGAUACUCAGAUUAACAGCAAGAAGUUGCCCUUUGAAAGCUCAAUAAAUUCUCUCUCCUUCCUCCUUUCUUUAUGGAAGAUCAUUUCACAGAUACUUUGUAUUUUGGGAAAUGCUGUUCCAGUUUGUGUUUGGCAAAGCAGAUUUUUGGUCCUUUGAUAUGAUAUGAAAACCAGCUCUGGGUGAUUAUAUCUUCAGGCCGAAUCCCCUGUGGUCAGGUGACAACUGGUUUCUGAGUGGCAGCUCAGAUGCUGAAAACAUCUCUUAUAGGGACUUGUGGGAAGGAAAACACUCUGCUUUUCCAGUUUUUUAAAAAUAGCUGCACUGGAGACAGAUGAUGUAAUUAAUCAGUGGCCCUGGCAGGGAGGAAAAAUCUGUAUGUUAAGGAAGAAAACAAAACAAUUCUUGUCGUAACGCUCCCUAUGACCCUGCAAAGUGAAGCUCUUGAAAGUCCCAGUGUUUGCAAUGAUAGUGUUGAAGGAUGUGCUUAAAUCUCUGCUACUAAAAUCAAUGGGACAAGUGGAAUAGCUGGUGGGGUGAUUAGUUUUAAGUGAAAUGGAUUACCUUUGUGAGGCUUCCAUAUGUACAUACAUGCAUAGACACAUGUCCAUUCUUUCAGUACAAUGCUGCCCUUCCUACUCAUAAUGUCUUGCAGUUUCCUUCUACAAACUGAUCAUAUCUAUCCAGCCGCAUUAAAGGCCAAGUACACCCCAGCCACCGCGUCACUCCCAGGAGAGACACAUGGCUCGGGUGCGUUGCAGGCCCCACAGUGAGUGCCGGCCGCCAUUUUGUCACCCCCCUCAGUGGUGACACCCAGGGCGGACCACCCCCACCACCCCCCUUCCUCCGCCCCUGGCUGAUGGGGUCAUCUCAAAUCAAGCUAUUCUGGGGAACUCUAUGUUAUACCAGCUAAUAUCCAUUUAAUUUCUUUCCUCUUUCCAUUUAGAAGGUGACUACUUAGUAGGAUGUUCUCUUAUCUCUUGCCAGCUACUCUCUUCACCACCUUUAGCUCGCAGUAAGUCUGUCCUGAAGGGGAAAUGGUUAAGAGCUGGGCCUUUUGAACUUAUAAGGUCUCUUAUGCAAGAUUUGAGGGUGUUUUCUUUUUUUUUCCUAAAAGAAAGUUGGUAUCUUGCUGGCUGCGCUAAACAGAAAAGGAUAACACAACUUGGUUCCAAAUGGGCUUUAAUGUUUAGAUUGGCAUGUACUCUGUGACUCACUAUAAAGCCUUAAUUUACUACUACCGAGAAAUAAAGCAAUAUAUUGGUAUA